RNAcentral lists this ribosomal RNA (943 nucleotides) under Rhinoclavis sinensis. RNAcentral's name for it is "small subunit ribosomal RNA". Lineage: Eukaryota; Metazoa; Mollusca; Gastropoda; Cerithiidae. The record is from RNAcentral.
UGAACUAGGGACAACUUCCGUUACCCCUACUAUGUUACGACUUAUCUCAUUUUUUAACGAGAGCGACGGGCGAUGUGUGCACGCCUCAGAGCCAUAAUUCAAAGAAUUUAUAUUUUAAAUUCUUUACUUUCAAGUCCUCCUUCCUGUAUAUAUUGCAUUAAUACAUUUCGUAAUUAUAAGUGUUAAUUGUAACCCAUUCUCUCCUUUCUAUAGGCUGCACCUUGAUCUGACGUGAAAGUUUAUAGUAACUUUAUUGCUAACGCCUAAUUUCUAAAAAGUUACCUGACGACGACGGUAUACAGACUGAAAACCAAGAAAGGUGAGGUCUAGCGUGGACUGUCGAUUAUGAAACAGGUUCCCCUGAGGGGUCUAAGGCACCGCCAAGUUCUUUGAGUUUUAAACAUAAUGGUUCAUAGUACUCAGGUAGGCUUAAAUAUCCAGUUUAUAUUUAAGAAUAGUGGGGUAUCUAAUCCCAGUUUCCCUCUUAAAUUUUAUAGCGUCAACGCUUAAGAAUUUUUAUUUGAAUUAAAAGUAAUUUAAAAAUUUUACCUUAAUAACUACUCUCAUAUAAAUAUAGUAUAAGUUUAACUAUCUUUUUUACCUAAAAUAACAACUUGAUCUCUAGGUGUAACCGCGGCUGCUGGCACCCAGUUGACCAGACCUCUUAACUAAACUAAUGCGCACUGACAUACAUAUAUUAAAAUUCAACACUGGUGUUAGUGAAGCUUAUUAAACAUUAUGUCGUUAUAAUAUUUAAGGCUUAAAGUUAAUAAAGAGAAUAAAUCUUACUUUUUAUCUUUUAGCCUCCUCACCACAAUCAAAAGAAACCAUGUGUAAUCGUUUGCUAAUGUUGUUAUAGUAGAUCAGAACCAAGUCUUUUAUUAAAAAAUUGUUCUGAGAUAUUUUUUGAAAAAUAAAUUAAUAAAAGAUUUUUUUGUAAAUU